CGGGCCUACGGGGGGCAGCAGUGGGGAAUAUUGCACAAUGGGGGAAACCCUGAUGCAGCGACGCCGCGUGAGUGAAGAAGUAUUUCGGUAUGUAAAGCUCUAUCAGCAGGGAAGAAAAAAGACGGUACCUGACUAAGAAGCCCCGGCUAACUACGUGCCAGCAGCCGCGGUAAUACGGAGGGGGCAAUCGUUAUCCGGAUUUAGUGGGUGUAGAGGGAGCGCAGACGGGAUGGCAAGUCUGAAGUGAAAGCCCAG
RNAcentral lists this ribosomal RNA (255 nucleotides) under uncultured bacterium. RNAcentral describes it as "partial 16S ribosomal RNA". It matches the Rfam family "Bacterial small subunit ribosomal RNA", at positions 332 to 605 of the family's 1533-position model. The record is from RNAcentral.